CAGCGCCACGAGUGGUAACCACGUUUAUUGGGCCUAAAGCGUCCGUAGCCGGUUUGAUAAAUCUUUUGUGAAAUUGUACAGCUUAACUGUACAGCGUGCAAGAGACACUGUCAAACUUGAGACCGGGAGGAGUCAGAAGUAUUCCAGAGGGAGCGGUAAAAAGUUAUAAUCUCUGGAGGACUACCUGUGGCGAGGGCGUCUGACCAGAACGGAUCUGACGGUGAGGGACGAAAGCCAGGGGAGCGAACCGGAUUAGAUACCCGAGUAGUCC
Molecule: ribosomal RNA, 271 nt
Filed under: uncultured archaeon
Lineage: Archaea
Description: partial 16S ribosomal RNA
Rfam family: Archaeal small subunit ribosomal RNA
Source: RNAcentral